This 582-nucleotide long non-coding RNA is filed under the name Coffea arabica (coffee). RNAcentral describes it as "long non-coding RNA (CARA_LNC007052)". The record is from RNAcentral. Lineage: Eukaryota; Viridiplantae; Streptophyta; Magnoliopsida; Gentianales; Rubiaceae.
UUGAAUGGAAAAUGUUUUAGUCCAAAACCUACAACCUGGAAUGCAAACAAGUACACAGGUAUAAAAGGUUACAAUAUCCCAUCCAUAUAGUUUUGUAACGGGGACUUCUGCAUGCAACAUAGUAGUAUAUUAAGUCAACAAGGAGGUGUGAAGCAGAAAUUGCUCUCAAAAGAACAAUACCGAAAUAACGGUGGCUUUAUUUUCAUAGCUCUGCCAAUUAGGUACAGACUUUUUUGGAUGCGGAUUUUGAAAGGCCAAGUGAAAUGCAAAUUGGUGACCAGGAAAAGCCAAAGACGAGAGGAUUUUCUCAAAGAAUAGUACAAUAGGAGGAGGAGGAGGAGGAGGAAUUUUCAGAACCACCAUUGGCUUUAACUCCCGGCCAAUCCUUGCACUGACAGUGUUUGCCUUGCGGAAUUCUUGCAUACACAGAUGCUACAUGCUUCCCGCAGCCAACCCAAGUGGUCUUACCACAUCUCGAGCACUUGUCUUCGUAGCACAUUUUCUUCUUCUUUUCGGCCUUCGUAAUCAAUCAAUCAAAUCAAAUCUGCCUGCCCCUUUGCUCUUUUGUUUUCGGUGUUAAUA